UGGGGCAGGGAGCUGAGUUACUCACAGGAUUCAUUUACCGUGACAUCAUUAACCCAGAGGGAUUGUCAACACACGGAGCUGUGCUGCCCCGUUUGGCCCAAUGACUCUGGGCUCUGCGCUUCCCUGCAGGGAGGGCUCUGGGGAUGCUCCGACCUCCGGCCCCGCGGGCACAGCGCUGCCCUCCUUCUGGACGCCCAAAGGUGUCAGAGCGGAGAGCCGGGAGCGGCGCGGGC
This 233-nucleotide long non-coding RNA is filed under the name Gallus gallus (chicken). The record is from RNAcentral. Lineage: Eukaryota; Metazoa; Chordata; Aves; Galliformes; Phasianidae.